AUGAAGAACAAAAGCGGUCGCCGAAGACGCAAUCAAAAUGCGCACCAAAAAACAACUCGAAACAAAGCCGCUGCUGGCGAUGGGAACGAAGACAUGCUUAGCAAGCUGCCCAACGACCUUUUGCUCAACAUUCUGGAGAGGGUGGACACGCUAGACGCGAUAAGGACCUGUGUCCUAUCCAAGCAAAUGCUGAAGCUCCCCACCAUGUUCUCGCGGUUCUUCCUAAGUGUCAGUUCCGUUCCAGCCUACCAUGACAAAGCUCGUGUGUCCAGCCUCAGCGUCAGCGACAUGCUCCGAACCAACAGUGCUCUGGCUCAUGUAACGGAUAACUUCUUGAGCACAAGGAGCACGGAGGUCGCCAUCUGCAAACUCAAAAUCAGAUUCAUUCUGAUGCAGCGUGACUCCUUAGUCAUUGGCAACUCUGUUGCCCGCGCCAUGGCAACCCAGAAGGUUGAUGCAACCGAGUUUGAGAUUGUGACAGAGAAGGCUUACAAGAUCUGCUCUUCUGAUGAUCUCCUCCAGUACGGGAAGCAAUUCAAUGAUUUUAUCGGUGCUUGUCCGGAUGCAUUUGCCGGCCUUAGGUGCCUCUGGCUGCGCAAUAUGAGGUUUGGUGAACUAGACAUCCCCAACAUCCUGAGCACCUGCAAGCUCUUGGAGUCUUUGCGCUUAACCCAUUGCGACUCAGGGAUCCAUUCCGUGGUGCAAGUAGAGCAUGCUCGACUUAUUGAGCUCGAGGUUGACAAUGGGAAAUUUGAGAGAGUUGAGCUCACAUGUCUGCCAAAACUCGAACAAGUGACCUAUAAUAAUUGGUUCUCUUAUGAAGAUCCCAUGUAUUUUGGUUUUGUGCCACAACUUUCAAAGCUGAGCCUUAUUAAAACUGGCUCCCGUUUGCAAAAGACCCUUGAGUUAAGUCAGUUCCUUGUUAAUGUUCCUUCCAUAAGCGAUCUCCAUCUGGAUUUUAGAAGUGAAAAUAUUUGGGUUAUCCCAGAAAGCCCGGAACUGCUCACCCCUGUGCUCAGCAAACUACAGCUUGUGAAUCUGGAUCAUCUUCCCGAAGGAUGUGAUUUAGCUUGGACAAUGUUUAUUCUUGAAGCUGCACCCUCCCUAAAAGAGCUGUGCAUCACAGUAUGGGAUCGUUGCUGCAUAAUGUUCACAGGCACAGAGUUCCGGAAGGAAAAUGGUUUGUGCGACAAGGCAGACGUGAAGUGGAAGCCAUAUGCCCCUGGUUUCAAGCACAAGAAUCUGGUUAAGCUCGCCAUCUAUGGCUUUCAGCCCGACGACAACUUUGUGCGAUACAUCAGGUGUCUCGCGGAAGCUGCGGUUAAUAUGGCAGAGAUAUCUCUGCAUGACCGGAAGGUGUGUGGGCGCUGUGGUGACUUGGAUCUUGAGGUCCAGGUCAAGGUUUGUCCAUCGAGAUAUCCGCGGACCGCUGAGGAGAAGAGCCAGGUAACUGAGGUGUUGGGUUUGGCUUCGCGGGCUGUAGUUCACUUCCGGUCCUAA
RNAcentral lists this ribosomal RNA (1500 nucleotides) under Triticum aestivum (bread wheat). RNAcentral's name for it is "partial small subunit ribosomal RNA". The record is from RNAcentral. Lineage: Eukaryota; Viridiplantae; Streptophyta; Magnoliopsida; Poales; Poaceae.